This 450-nucleotide ribosomal RNA is filed under the name uncultured bacterium. Its description in RNAcentral is "partial 16S ribosomal RNA". It matches the Rfam family "Bacterial small subunit ribosomal RNA", at positions 354 to 796 of the family's 1533-position model. The record is from RNAcentral.
GUGGGGAAUUUUGGACAAUGGGGGCAACCCUGAUCCAGCCAUGCCGCGUGCGGGAAGAAGGCCUUCGGGUUGUAAACCGCUUUUGUCAGGGAAGAAAUCCUUUGGGUUAAUACCUCGGAGGGAUGACGGUACCUGAAGAAUAAGCACCGGCUAACUACGUGCCAGCAGCCGCGGUAAUACGUAGGGUGCGAGCGUUAAUCGGAAUUACUGGGCGUAAAGCGUGCGCAGGCGGUUUUGUAAGAUCGAUGUGAAAUCCCCGGGCUCAACCUGAGAACUGCAUUGGUGACUGCAAGGCUGGAGUGCGGCAGAGGGGGAUGGAAUUCCGCGUGUAGCAGUGAAAUGCGUAGAUAUGCGGAGGAACACCGAUGGCGAAGGCAAUCCCCUGGGCCUGCACUGACGCUCAUGCACGAAAGCGUGGGGAGCAAACAGGAUUAGAAACCCGGGUAGUCC